GUAGGUGAACCUGCGGAAGGAUCAUUAACGAAAUUAUAAUCCGGCGAGGGAAAGGCGGAGAGUUGUAGCUGGCCCCCUGGGGCAUGUGCACGCUCUCUUCUGGACUUUUCGCCGUAUGGGCGCGGGGCGACCCGCGUCUUCAUAUACCUCUUCGUGUAGAAAGUCUUUGAAUGUUAUCAUCAUCAUCGAGUCGUGACUUCUAGGAGACGCCAUUCUUUGAGACAAAAGUUAUUACAACUUUCAGCAACGGAUCUCUUGGCUCUC
RNAcentral lists this unclassified non-coding RNA (264 nucleotides) under rhizosphere metagenome. RNAcentral's name for it is "partial ribosomal RNA internal transcribed spacer region". The record is from RNAcentral.